ACAAAAACAAUGUCAAAAUCU
RNAcentral lists this small nuclear RNA (21 nucleotides) under Arabidopsis thaliana (thale cress). RNAcentral describes it as "snRNA_15716". Lineage: Eukaryota; Viridiplantae; Streptophyta; Magnoliopsida; Brassicales; Brassicaceae. The record is from RNAcentral.